AUAUAAAUAGUAUAAUAAUAGAAUAUCUAUAAUUAUAUUUUAUAAAAAUUUUGAUAAAAAUCAAAUUUAUAUA
RNAcentral lists this transfer RNA (73 nucleotides) under Vitis davidii. RNAcentral describes it as "tRNA-Tyr". The record is from RNAcentral. Lineage: Eukaryota; Viridiplantae; Streptophyta; Magnoliopsida; Vitales; Vitaceae.